This is a long non-coding RNA of Peromyscus leucopus (white-footed mouse), 770 nucleotides long. RefSeq lists it as uncharacterized. The record is from RefSeq and is a predicted model, not a curated record. The transcript has 3 exons. Lineage: Eukaryota; Metazoa; Chordata; Mammalia; Rodentia; Cricetidae.
UGCCAAGUGGUUGAGUGACGUAUAGCGCCGCAGCGUCUGUGCGAAGGCGCCGGCCGCGGCCACCUGCAUGGAGACAGUAGGUACGCAUCUUCACGAAUGCCCUGCCACUCUGAAUUUAAGACACAGCGAAGAGCCGCGCCCCUCCAGUACUGAGCCCAUGGCCCUGCACAGACUUGGCGAGGGUGUACCACUGAGCUCCAUAUGUUUCAAUCAGAGCAGCCUCGGAUACCUGUUCCGUGAGGGCAGAGCUCCGUCACCACGGACCCACGUUGCUGUCAGUCUUCAGAGUGCACACAGCGCGGACCAAUGACUGUGAGGCCCGGCAACUGCAAGGCCUGCUUCCUGCGCUCUCUACUCUUGCGGGCUCUCCCUGUCUUUUCUGUCUAGGGUCUCCGGGCUGGGCUGGUGAAACCAAAGCUGGCCUUGUACUGGAAGGAGCUAUAGGUGUGGACCACCGUUCACUACGCUGUUGCAGAAGACAGUCUUGCUGAGCAGGUGGGGCACACCUUUAAUUCCAGCACUCAGGAGGAAGAGGCAGGGGAAUCUCUUGUGAGUCUCAAUAAAUAAAUGAAUGAAUGAACAAAUAAUGUUUUAAGUGCUGAAACCCUGGGAGCCUUUCAGAAAUGGGUCCAGAAGGUAUACGGCACAAGAUGAUGCCUGGAGCCUGCCCUGGGGCCCUCGAAGGGAACCAGUCCUCACAGGCACACAGCAGGUCUGCAGACAAACCUCCCCACAAUGCUGCGGCCUGGCUGCCCAGGCCACCCCUCACC